GAUGAACGCUGGCGGCGUGCCUAAUACAUGCAAGUCGAGCGAACAGACGAGGAGCUUGCUCCUCUGACGUUAGCGGCGGACGGGUGAGUAACACGUGGAUAACCUACCUAUAAGACUGGGAUAACUUCGGGAAACCGGAGCUAAUACCGGAUAAUAUAUUGAACCGCAUGGUUCAAUAGUGAAAGACGGUUUUGCUGUCACUUAUAGAUGGAUCCGCGCCGCAUUAGCUAGUUGGUAAGGUAACGGCUUACCAAGGCAACGAUGCGUAGCCGACCUGAGAGGGUGGACGGCCACACUGGAACUUGAGCACGGUCCAGACCCCUACGGGGGGCAGCAGUAGGGAAUCUUCCGCAAUGGGCGAAAGCCUUACGGAGCAACGCCGCGUGAGUGAUGAAGGUCUUCGGAUCGUAAAACUCUGUUAUUAGGGAAGAACAAAUGUGUAAGUAACUAGGCACGUCUUGACGGUACCUAAUCAGAAAGCCACGGCUAACUACGUG
This 497-nucleotide ribosomal RNA is filed under the name uncultured bacterium. RNAcentral's name for it is "partial 16S ribosomal RNA". It matches the Rfam family "Bacterial small subunit ribosomal RNA", at positions 28 to 507 of the family's 1533-position model. The record is from RNAcentral.